AGCCAUUUCUUCCCUAUCUUUCUUGUUCUUGACCUCUCUCAACGUCUCUCUAUAUCUUUCUCAAUUUCUCCUAUACACCUCUCUAGCUCAAUCUCUCUCUCGGUAUACACUCAACACCACCACCAUAAACCACCAUUCCACCACCCCUUGUUGCCGCUGCUUUGAAACUAAAUUAUCUCAGAGAUUCAUAUUCACGGCAUUACAACUCGGUUAUUCUCGCACCUCUUACUCACCAGUCAUGCUUUAAGGUGAGUGUUAUGGCCCCACUUUUACAUAUUUUCGGGGGGAAUACAUGUAGUACUUGUAUAUCUAGUAUAUAUCUAUUUUCUAUAUACUUUGUUUAAACAAACAACACCACCGUUUUUAUGCAAUAUAAAUCACACAAAAAUAGUAUUUAUUCUGCUACUACUUACGGUACGGGGAAUCUAGUUUGAAGGGCCGCAUGGGUUAUUGGAUUUCAGAACAGCUUAAUUGCCAAAAUGAUCUUUCCCUCGGUGUUUCAUGUCUGGCCCUCAUCUGUGCAUGGUAGUAUGUGUACUAAGUAAUAUUUAUCAUACAAAAUACACAAAAAAAUCCUUGUUUUGUGUAAAUACUUUACCAGUUUUAGAAAUAAUUGUUUAAACGCUUACAUGUUAAGUAAACAAAAUCGUUUUAAACCUCAAUAACUUUAUAUGUUAUGUUGUUAAGAUAAUACAACUAAUAAAAAUAACAUAUACGUUCCGACAAAAAUUGUGCUAUGAUUGUAUAGCCGGUUACCAACUUGGUAGUCUAAUUAUACCUCAUACAUGCACAUAUAUAUAAGUUUAUAUGUUUAUACGAGUUAUAGAGCUCGUAUCUUAGGCUCGUUUAUGUGCUUGUACUCAAAUUGUUACCAACUGUUUAAACAAGUAUCGUACUCUUCAGUGUGUAUGCUUAUCAAAUAUACUUUUCAACUAUCUGUUUAUCCGUAUCUGCGGUUGUUAAGUACAACCUUGGUAGAUAACUUUAUCCAUAUAUCUGUAUGUCUAUUUAUCCGUAUAUGUGGUUGUUAAAUACAACCUUGACAGAUAACCUUAUCCGUAUGUUUGUUCAUAUGUUAUCCGUACCAUUCCGUUACUAUAAACUUAACUAGAUGUUUAUUACCUAGAAACCAUAGUUUAUAUGUAUAUAUGUACAAAUUCCUUACUAUAAAUUGGACUAGACUUUUAUUACCUAGCAACCAUGGUUUAUAUUUCUAUCUUUAUCAAACAUUCUUCCAAACACAGUUUUCUUACAAAGGCAAUACUUUUUAGACUUUUUAAAAAGCGGUUAAGCAGAAACCAUGUAACACUCACCAACCUUUGUGUUGACCAUCAAACUUACAUGUAUUCUCAGGGGAUCCUUAGACAAGCUUUCAGAUUGAAGAUUUGUCGUGGAUUCUAGACGACUUAGCUAUCUAGUUUUUGGUUAUCUGCUUACUUUUUUAAGGAAACUACUAUCUAUUAUCACUUGUAAGAACCUUGUAUUCAAACCUUAAUGAUGGAAUAUAAAUGAUGUUUUGUUUAUCGGUGUACUUGUGCUAUAUAUUCAGUUUAUCUGUGAUCCUUGAACUUAGUCGCACUCCCGGCAUGUUUCGCCUUGGCCGAGGGUGUGACAGCAUAAGACAACUUUUGGGUUCUCAAGGACCGCUCACUAUGAAAAAUCCCGAAACUAACAAAGAGUUUAUAGAAGAGUUCGCAAUCGCACAAAUACCACAAUCCUAGAGAUGACGUCACACGAAAAAAAUCAACCGAUGAAGGAUCUUUGGAUAACCUAGCUGCAAUAAUCGCUAAACUUGAC
Molecule: long non-coding RNA, 1797 nt
Filed under: Lactuca sativa (garden lettuce)
Lineage: Eukaryota; Viridiplantae; Streptophyta; Magnoliopsida; Asterales; Asteraceae
Description: long non-coding RNA (LSAT_LNC000259)
Source: RNAcentral